Molecule: ribosomal RNA, 253 nt
Filed under: uncultured bacterium
Lineage: Bacteria
Also listed under: 1 other name
Description: partial 16S ribosomal RNA
Rfam family: Bacterial small subunit ribosomal RNA
Source: RNAcentral
GACGAACCGUGCGAACGUUGUUCGGAUUCACUGGGCUUAAAGGGUGUGUAGGCGGUCUGCCAAGUCAGGGGUGAAAUCUUUCGGCUCAACCGGAAAACUGCCUUUGAUACUGGUAGGCUCGAGGGAGGUAGGGGUUGCGGGAACUACCAGUGGAGCGGUGAAAUGCGUUGAUAUUGGUAGGAACGCCGGUGGCGAAAGCGCGCAACUGGAUCUCUUCUGACGCUGAAACACGAAAGCUAGGGGAGCAAACGGG